RNAcentral lists this long non-coding RNA (465 nucleotides) under Manacus vitellinus (golden-collared manakin). Its description in RNAcentral is "lncRNA (ENSMVIG00005011004.1)". The record is from RNAcentral. Lineage: Eukaryota; Metazoa; Chordata; Aves; Passeriformes; Pipridae.
CUGGGGUUUCCAGGAACACAAAUGCAAUAAUAAUAUAUGUACAGCAUCAGCUAGAGAUGGGGCUAGCUGCCCUUUGGUGGUAAAUAGAAAGUCAUGGAAACAAAAACUACCAUAAAUUAUUAGGAAACACAAAAGGAAGACUUAUUGACAUGGAAUCCUUAAUGCCUGUAGCCUCUUCCAGCCAACACUGAGGAAAACUGUAGAAAGUCUGUAAGGUACUCUGAUGCUUGUGACAAGUCCUGAAGGUCCUUCCUGAAUCCCAGUGCCUAGGCCCUGUGAGAAGGCUGAUGGUGCAGGAAGAAAACAAGCUGCUUCCUUGAAGAGUUCAAGCCUUGGCAUUCUUGUGGCAAGAUCCUGUGGCAGUUUAUGAAAUUGUCAAGGGGGUCUAAAACAAGAGGAAGGCUGUCUGGUUGGUGUAUUAGCUGUUGGUCACAUACACCUGGUCUGAAAGCGACUGGCGUCUGA